GAUGAACGCUGGCGGCGUGCCUAAUACAUGCAAGUCGAGCGAACAGACGAGUAGUUUGCUCCUCUGACGUUAGCGGCGGACGGGUGAGUAACACGUGGAUAACCUACCUAUAAGACUGGUAUAACUUCGGGAAUCCGGAGCUAAUACCGGAUAAUAUAUUGAACCGUAUGGUUCAGUAGUGAAAGACGGUUUUGCUUUCACUUAUAGAUGGAUCCGCGCCGCAUUAGCUAGUUGGUUAGGUAACGGCUUACGAAGGCGACGAUGCGUAGCCGACCUGAGAGGGUGAUCGGCCACACUGGAGCUGAGACACGGUCCAGAGUCCUACGGGAGGCAGCAGUAGGGAAUCGUACGCAGUGGGCGAAAGCCUGACGGAGCAACGGCGCGUGAGUGAUGAAGGUCUUCGGAGCGUAAAAAUCUGUUAUUAGGGAAGAACAAAUGUGUAAGUAAAUAUGCACGACUUGACGGUACCUAAUCAGAAAGCAACGGCUAACUACGUG
RNAcentral lists this ribosomal RNA (497 nucleotides) under uncultured bacterium. RNAcentral describes it as "partial 16S ribosomal RNA". It matches the Rfam family "Bacterial small subunit ribosomal RNA", at positions 28 to 507 of the family's 1533-position model. The record is from RNAcentral.